UAAGAUGUCCAACGAUGGUUGCUUUUGAGUGGGAUGAUAUAAUAAAGCAUCAAAUAAUUUACAUUUGGCUUUUGCAGAAGAUUUGACUCUUCAAACUAUGUUUCAUUCAUGUUAAUGCUCAAAUUGUUUUGAGUUUUCCAAGACAAGUAGAAGGGGAAAGAGGUGGGAGGGCCAAGGAGUGGUAUAAUUCAGGAAAACCUUGUGUGUUUUGGCUGUCAGGUUUCUUUUUCACUCAGGCCUUUUUAACUGGAGCUAUGCAGAAUUAUGCCAGAAAAUAUACCACCCCUAUUGAUUUGCUAGGAUAUGAAUUUGAGGUUAUCCCAUCUGAUACAUCUGACACAUCACCAGAAGAUGGUGUUUAUAUCCACGGAUUGUAUCUCGAUGGCGCACGCUGGGACCGAGAAAGUGGAUUGCUUGCUGAACAAUAUCCCAAACUUCUGUUUGACCUGAUGCCCAUCAUAUGGAUAAAACCAACUCAAAAAUCUCAGAUUAUAAAGUCGGAUGCCUAUGUCUGUCCCCUCUACAAGACAAGUGAACGUAAAGGAACUCUUUCCACUACGGGACAUUCUACUAACUUUGUCAUUGCAAUGUUGUUAAAAACAAACCAACCUACUCAGCACUGGAUCAAGCGCGGGGUUGCUUUGCUUUGUCAGUUGGAUGACUAAAUUGGACAAAUGUAUAAAACAUCCAAAAGUUUUUUUAAAAAACCUGUCCUACUUAAAAUAUAUACAUUAUAAAACCAA
Molecule: small RNA, 743 nt
Filed under: Pongo abelii (Sumatran orangutan)
Lineage: Eukaryota; Metazoa; Chordata; Mammalia; Primates; Hominidae
Description: processed transcript
Source: RNAcentral